This 730-nucleotide long non-coding RNA is filed under the name Panax ginseng (ginseng). Its description in RNAcentral is "long non-coding RNA (PGIN_LNC012252)". The record is from RNAcentral. Lineage: Eukaryota; Viridiplantae; Streptophyta; Magnoliopsida; Apiales; Araliaceae.
GCAGAUCCUCCAUACCAUACCCAUCCAAAAACCGUGUCACAGCAAUGCCCUAGCUUUAUAUGGUCUUAUUAUCUGGGACAGGAAUUCAUCCGACUUGGAUACUAUGCAACAUUUGAUUAUAAUGAUGAAUUUAGAUAGAUGGGGUUCAAGAGAAUAUUUUGGCUUAUAAGCCUCGAGUGUAACAUAAACUUUCUCCACCGGAGAACAAUAUGAGCAUAAAUAACAACCUCCUACCACUCCUGCCGCGUUCUUGGCAGGUAGACGUUGGUUCUACCAUUUGCAACAAAUUUUUCUGUAGCUUAGGAUUUGGUACGAAGAAUGAUGAAAAUUCUAAGAAACACUAGAUCCAUGCUCCAAAUCCAAACAUGAUUUGAGAAAUGUAGUCGGCCAUUUCUUGUACAUGCAUGAUGCAUUCCAAAAAUAAUAAUUGAGUUUCUGUACUUGUAACUGUUGGGUCAUAAUAUUUCUCCUAUCUUGGGCUGGAUAGAUUGGGCCCAUUUAUCAGUAUAAUCUAUUGGGCUUUUAUUAUUAAGCCAUGGGACUCUUUGAGCCCAUUUAUUGUGUCAACUUUAUUUAAUUCUAUUGGACCGGGUCAGACCAGUGGAUCGACCCAUUAGAUAUUUUAAUAUCUGUUACUUUGACUUGUGAUGAUGAAAAAGCAUGACAGUUGACCAAUCCUCCUGCCAUGCAUUAAUGUGGAUGGGAUCAUAACCGGCCGGCGGGAGAAAAC